Molecule: ribosomal RNA, 236 nt
Filed under: uncultured bacterium
Lineage: Bacteria
Description: partial 16S ribosomal RNA
Rfam family: Bacterial small subunit ribosomal RNA
Source: RNAcentral
CACGGGUGAGUAACACGUAUGCAAUCCACCUGUAACAGGGGGAGUAACCCGGAGAAAUCCGACUAAUACCCAUAAUAUGGGCGCUCCGCAUGGAGAGUCCAUUAAAGAGAGCAAUCUUGGUUACAGACGAGCAUGCGCUCCAUUAGCCAGUUGGCGGGGUAACGGCCCACCAAGGCGACGAUGGAUAGGGGUUCUGAGAGGAAGGUCCCCCACAUUGGAACUGAGACACGGUCCAA